UACGAAGGGGGCUAGCGUUGUUCGGAAUUACUGGGCGUAAAGCGUUUGUAGGCGGUUAUUUAAGCCAGUGGUGAAAUCCUGGGGCUCAACCUCAGAAUUGCCAUUGGUACUGGAUAGCUAGAGAAUGUUAGAGGAAAGUGGAAUUCCUAGUGUAGGAGUGAAAUCCGUAGAGAUUAGGAGGAAUAUCGAUGGCGAAGGCAGCUUUCUGGGACAUUUCUGACGCUGAGAAACGAAAGCGUGGGUAGCAAACAGG
RNAcentral lists this ribosomal RNA (253 nucleotides) under uncultured bacterium. Its description in RNAcentral is "partial 16S ribosomal RNA". It matches the Rfam family "Bacterial small subunit ribosomal RNA", at positions 524 to 776 of the family's 1533-position model. The record is from RNAcentral.